RNAcentral lists this transfer RNA (77 nucleotides) under Peptoclostridium litorale DSM 5388. RNAcentral's name for it is "tRNA-Met". It matches the Rfam family "tRNA". From Rfam's summary of the family: Transfer RNA (tRNA) molecules are approximately 80 nucleotides in length. Their secondary structure includes four short double-helical elements and three loops (D, anti-codon, and T loops). Further hydrogen bonds mediate the characteristic L-shaped molecular structure. tRNAs have two regions of fundamental functional importance: the anti-codon, which is responsible for specific mRNA codon recognition, and the 3' end, to which the tRNAs corresponding amino acid is attached (by aminoacyl-tRNA synthetases). tRNAs cope with the degeneracy of the genetic code in two manners: having more than one tRNA (with a specific anti-codon) for a particular amino acid; and 'wobble' base-pairing, i.e. permitting non-standard base-pairing at the 3rd anti-codon position. Lineage: Bacteria; Bacillati; Bacillota; Clostridia; Peptostreptococcales; Peptoclostridiaceae. The record is from RNAcentral.
GGCGGCAUAGCUCAGCUGGCUAGAGCGUUCGGUUCAUACCCGAGAGGUCACAAGUUCGAUCCUUGUUGCCGCUACCA